Non-coding RNA from Coturnix japonica (Japanese quail), 2025 nucleotides. Lineage: Eukaryota; Metazoa; Chordata; Aves; Galliformes; Phasianidae. The record is from RefSeq and is a predicted model, not a curated record.
GACUGCCUCAGCAUUUCCCAGUGAAGGCAUCCAUAUUGGACUGCCUAGGGAAGCCAGGGGAAGUCUGAUUUCCUUGGACACUGGACCCAGAGCAGCCUGAACAGUAGUGGCUGGUGAAAUGGGGCCUAGAGCAACAGAGCCACUGAGGUGUAGCUGGCAAGCCACUGGAAUAGAAGAUACAAGAGGCAGGCACAUGGCCCAGGACAGUGACAGAGCGUCUCAGGCACUGUGAUGGGCCAACUGCAGUUUUACAAAAGCUAAUCAGACCUGCCAGGCGUACAAGACAGCUCGUGCUGAUAAAACAACAACACUGUGUGUUUGGAUUGAGAUCAGCCAUGGUUUGCACUGUUGCAAGAAGUAGCUGAUUUUUGUCACAGCCUGUGCCAGCUUCUCUGGAUCUGGUAAGACAGGACUUAGUCUGAGGGACAAAAACGACUGCAAUGGAGGCAAGAAUAUUUAUGGUGACAACCAGGCACUGCUCCUCAACAGACAGCUCCCUCCCUCAUCUGCCUCCCCCUUCCCCCUCUGUCCUUGAGCCUGCCUCCUGCCAGCUGGGCUUCUCUCCACGCCAUCUUGCCACCUGUCAUUGGACACAGCUCCAUCCACCACCAGGCCUUGUGUUCUCGAUGAGGCUAGAAGGAGACAGGCAGAAGGGGCAAGAAAAGUGCCUUUUGAGUCUCCUGCAUGUGCAUGGAAGAUAAGAUGCCAUCUGGGGCAGGCUAGCUUGGUUGAAAUACAUUCUCCAUAUCAAAAAGAGGAUUGUGGUAUUUACUGCAGAAUGAGUUUUGGACAGUGCCACUGAAAGUCACUAUGAAACUGCGGCUGCAGAGCUCUCCCACAUGCCAUCAAUCAUGAAAUGACAAGGGCCAGAGAGUAAAGAAAAUAAACAGAUCUGAAGAGGGACACUGGAAACUAAUGCCCUAAAACUGGCACUGCUUGAAUGAAAGGUGUGGCGGGAUCCACUGUAUGUACUGCUUGUGCAGGAAAUGUGCUGGAACCCAGGGAAGACCUCAUGCCUAAGAGUCAAUCAGAUGUACAGAAAAGCUCCUACACACAAUCCCACACUUUUCACAGUCCCUGCAACUUCACAUGCACUUCACAGAUUGGGAAGGGUUUCUAGGAAAGCACUGGGGCGGUAGCAGCCAGAGAGGGAUUCUCACUGUGACAAGCCCUACCAAACUGGCACUCCCACUGGCAAGGUCCUGUGCUGCUGCGAGGGCAUGACAGGCUAAAGCAUGCCAGCUCUAGGUCCCUGCUUGUUCUGAUGGCUUGAAUGCCUAUCAUUUUUAGCUUUUUUUUCUUUUCCUUACUCAGGAAUGUUUGUCUACUGGCCUGCAUUAUAUCAUGGCAGAUAAGGAACACGCAUUUCCAUAUUCGCCCUGAAAAAGACACACUGGCUUCUUUCUGGACUUGGGUGAAUUUGGCAAAGCACAGCAAUCUCCUCACCCUCAGUGUUUGAUUGUGUAGUUAAUCUGCGUGGAAGCUCACCACAUUGAACAAAUUAAACAGGAAACCUGCAAAAUAUUAUCACACAACUACAUGCUUUCAGCUGAAAUUCCACGAGGUCCUUUUAUAUAUAUAUUUUUUUUUCCUUAGGAAGGCACAAAGCCUUUCACAAGCCUGAAGACCAGAAUGUAUUAGGCAUGCUUGCCAGUAUGCAUAUGUGCACAAUUUGCCAUGCAAAAUUUUGACCAGCAGUUUGGCGAGUGGUAAUAGAAGCCACAAGAAUAACACCCAUUCCCUUGGCCUCAGAUUUGCUUUUUUAUUCUAGCACAAUGCUCACGGCAGGUCAGUAAUGCAAGACAAAUUAUAUUAUUUCCAAAAAGCCUUCUCUCCUUGCAUAUGAGAUUGUAAUCAAGCUCAGGUUUAUCAUAAGCAGGCCAGAUUUUCUAAAGCCUCUAGUAAAACUCAUGUAAACUACACAUUAAAAUGAAUACUGCUCCUGCCUGGACGGGUAAAAGAAAAUAAAAUAUUUUGUUGUUUUCUUUUGUUUUUAAUCUCCCUGCUGUUCUUUCCGGCCACAUU